CCUGGCGGCCGUAGCGCGGUGGUCCUACCUGACCCCAUGCCGAACUCAGAAGUGAAACGCCGUAGCGCCGAUGGUAGUGUGGGGUCUCCCCAUGCGAGAGUAGGGAACUGCCAGGC
Molecule: ribosomal RNA, 116 nt
Filed under: Escherichia coli
Lineage: Bacteria; Pseudomonadati; Pseudomonadota; Gammaproteobacteria; Enterobacterales; Enterobacteriaceae
Also listed under: 2 other names
Source: RNAcentral